Molecule: ribosomal RNA, 226 nt
Filed under: uncultured bacterium
Lineage: Bacteria
Description: partial 16S ribosomal RNA
Rfam family: Bacterial small subunit ribosomal RNA
Source: RNAcentral
AAUCAACGCUGGCGGCGUGCCUAACACAUGCAAGUCGAACGCGAAAGUCCCGCAAGGGAUCAGUAGAGUGGCGAACGGGUGAGUAACACGUGGGUGACCUGCCUUCGAGUGGGGGAGUAACGUCCCGAAACGGGACGGCUAAUACCGCAUGACAUCCUGCUCUUGAACGAGUGGAGAUCAAAGCUGGGGAUCGCAAGACCUAGCGCUCAAAGAGGGGCCCGCGCCU